UUCGCAAUGCCCGAAAGGGUGAACGAGCGACGCCGCGUGCGGGAUGAAGGGUUUCGGCUUGUAAACCGCUUUUCUUUGGGAAGAAGGUCUGUCUCGUGCAGAUGGGCUCGACGGUACCAGAGGAAUAAGCCUCGGCUAACUCCGUGCCAGCAGCCGCGGUAAGACGGAGGAGGCAAGCGUUGUUCGGAAUUAUUGGGCGUAAAGGGCGCGUAGGCGGAUCGGUAAGUCUGGCGUGAAAUCUCCACCGCUUAACGGGGAGAGGUCGCUGGAAACUACCGAUCUGGAGUUCGGCAGGGGGCCAUGGAAUUCCAGGUGUAGCGGUGGAAUGCGUAGAUAUCUGGAAGAACACCGGUAGCGAAGGCGGUGGUCUGGGCCGAAACUGACGCUGAGGCGCGAAAGCCAGGGGAGCAAACGGGAUUAGAUACCCCGGUGGUCCUGGCCGUAAACGUUGGGCACUAAGUAGAGGGGUUUU
This 472-nucleotide ribosomal RNA is filed under the name uncultured bacterium. RNAcentral describes it as "bacterial SSU rRNA". It matches the Rfam family "Bacterial small subunit ribosomal RNA", at positions 364 to 832 of the family's 1533-position model. The record is from RNAcentral.